GUAGGUGGCAAGCGUUGUCCGGAAUUAUUGGGCGUAAAGCGCGCGCAGGUGGUUCUUUAAGUCUGAUGUGAAGGGACCCCCCGGGCUCAACCGGGGAGGGUCAUUGGAAACUGGGGAACUUGAGUGCAGGAGAGGAAAGUGGAAUUCCACGUGUAGCGGUGAAAUGCGUAGAUAUGUGGAGGAACACCAGUGGCGAAGGCGACUUUCUGGCCUGUAACUGACACUGAGGCGCGAAAGCGUGGGGAGCAAACAGGAUUAGAUACCCUGGUAGUCCACGCCGUAAACGAUGAGUGCUAAGUGUUGGGGGGUUUCCGCCCCUCAGUGCUGCAGCUAACGCAUUAAGCACUCCGCCUGGGGAGUACGGUCGCAAAGACUG
RNAcentral lists this ribosomal RNA (376 nucleotides) under uncultured organism. Its description in RNAcentral is "partial 16S ribosomal RNA". It matches the Rfam family "Bacterial small subunit ribosomal RNA", at positions 527 to 896 of the family's 1533-position model. The record is from RNAcentral.